AAAGGAAUAGACGGGGGCCCGCACAAGCAGUGGAGCGUGUGGUUUAAUUCGACGCAACGCGCAGAACCUUACCAGGGCUUGACAUCGUGGUGACAGCCGAAGAAACUCGGUCUUCCGUAGCAAUACGGACGCCAUGACAGGUGUUGCAUGGUUGUCGUCAGCUCGUGUCGUGAGAUGUUGGGUUAAGUCCCGCAACGAGCGCAACCCCUAUUCAGUGUUGCAAACAGGUAAAGCUGUGCACUCACUGGAGACUGCCGGAGACGAUCCGGAGGAAGGUGGGGAUGACGUCAAAUCAUCAUGGCCCUUAUGCCCUGGGCCACACACGCGCUACAAUGGCCGGUACAACGGGCAGCAAUAGAGCGAUCUGGAGCGAAUCCCUUAAAGCCGGUCUCAGUUGGAAUCGGGGGCUGAAACUCGUCCCCGUGAACAUGGAAUUGCUAGUAAUCGCGGAUCAGCCACGCCGCGGUGAAUACGUUCCCGGGCCUUGUACACACCGCCCGU
Molecule: ribosomal RNA, 501 nt
Filed under: uncultured bacterium
Lineage: Bacteria
Description: bacterial SSU rRNA
Rfam family: Bacterial small subunit ribosomal RNA
Source: RNAcentral